UGCAUAUCUAAGUAGUCUGGGGUUGUCGAUAUCAUUUGUGUCAGUUAAAUAAAAGAGUAGAAACUAGCUCUUUAAGUAUAAAUGCAAAUAAUAUAUAACGAUGCAGGGAUUUUGCACACUACAUGAAUCACUUGAUAUAUCACGGAUUACGGAGUUUAGUCUUCCUGGAAAAAGCAAUGGCAGCACAGUAUACACGUGACGAGAUAUUAUCAGCAGACAGUACAGAGUUGCGUAUGUGCGUGUUUUAAUCUGUGCUGCUAGCAUUCGUUCCCUUCUCCGAGGGUCUCCGUAGUUUUUCGUGGGAGAAACCGUGCUGUAAAAUUGUGGAGGUUUGGUUUUGAGUGUUUGAUGAUUGAAAAGGGAUGUGAAAUGUUAUGAUGACAGAUUUAAUCAAUUUAUGUUAUUACUUAGAGUGGCGAAGUAAUAUCAAUACAGCUACAAGAAUACAGGAAUAGUAUUUUUAUAAAAUUGGCGUUUAUAUGUGGUUUCAACUCCAAUGCAUUCCGUGGUCCGUCCUAACCUAUAAAUACAAGGUUUUGGUACACAAUGGCAGAGCCUAAAGAUCUGGACAGUCUGGGUUCCAAGGACAAGUCUCAGAAUAUUGAGGAUGUUGGUGAAUGUCACAUAGCUUCUUCUGUGGACCAUUCUUCAGAUUCAUGUCUGGUUGAGAAAGAGGAGGAGAGGAUUCCAGAGGAAGAGAGGGGGAAUGAAGAUGUUUUGGAAGGUAGAACAGAAAUAGAAGAACAGUUGGAUAAAAUCUCUAUCAAAGACUCGCCCAAAGAAGAGGAUCAUAAGGAGCCUUGUUGCACAGAAGUAGACUGUACACCUCCAUUAAAAAGUGUUAAGGAAAGAGACAUAGAUGAUUGCAUUUACCACCUAAAAUGGAUAGUGUGGCAUGACCGGAAAGCACCCAUAGUAACACAAAAUGAAAAUGGACCAUGUCCUCUGAUCGCUAUAUCAAACAUUUUAUUGUUGAAAGGGAAGAUCAUGCUUCCUUCUGCUAUGGAAAUUAUAACAGCCAAGCAGCUUAUGGAAUAUAUUGGGGAUAUGAUACUCCAGAAUGUCCCUAAGAAUUUGACUUUGCCCCGUCAGUUGAACUAUGAGCAGAAUAUGCAUGAUGCUAUUGCUGUUCUUCCAAGACUCCACACAGGAUUAGAUGUCAAUGUCAAAUUCACAGGAGUACAGGAUUUUGAAUACACACCAGAAUGUAUAAUAUUCGAUUUGCUCAACAUCACCCUUUAUCAUGGAUGGCUUGUUGACCCACAGUGUCACGAUACUGUAAAUGCACUUGGGUCUUUGGGAUACAACCAAAUAGUUGAGAAGAUUAUCCUUAACAAGUGUUCAAGUGAGAUUGAUUUAGUUACUGAAGCAUUGGUAGCAGAAGAGUUCCUUGAGCGCACUGCCUCACAGUUGACUUACCAUGGGCUGUGUGAGCUGAAUACAGCUAUGGGGCAUGAUGAACUUGCUGUAUUAUUUCGGAAUAAUCACUUCAGUACGAUAUUUAAAAAGAAGGUGUGUGGCCCUGUGGAUGAAGCCUCUUCAAGUUUGUUGGGCAUGUCACAGGAAUUGAAUGAACUGUUCCAGUUGGUGACAGACCAGGGGUUUUUACAUGAACCUCGUGUAGUGUGGGAAACAUUAUCAAACAUAGAGGGUGAUGGCAUGUUUGUAGAUGGCCGAUUUGUGACGGUGCCACCCAAGGCGUCUGGGCCAUAUCGCGCACUCGCCGUCGAUGCAUCUGAAGACCAGCAAAUCAAUCAUGAUUACCUGGUGGCUUUGUCACUUCAAGAAGACCAGAAGAAGCAGCAAGAAAGUGAACAGGCUUGGGAGGAAUUCAAACAGAUGCAGGAGAUCACGUCUGAGUCAUGUGUGUAUCCCACCACAAAAACUGAUUUUGAUACAGCUUGCAGCUGUUUUAUUCUGUUUAUAGUGAAGAGUUGUCUCAUCAUCUCCAUGAAGAUGAACAGCGACAUGUGCAGAAUCUAGUCCCUGUUGCUGCAAUGUUACAUGGUCACACCCGCCCAUAUGCUCAUGCACAGCCCACUUCAGGGGACCGAAACAAAAAGGGAUCGUGCAUCAUCAUCUGAUGACAACUGACCCCACUCCAUGUCUUACAUCUACAAAGCCUUGGAGUUUAUAUUGUACAUGGAAAUGAUAUAUAUGAGUAUAUUUUAAGAGUAUUUUACUGACACCAAUGUGCUUUUUCACUGAAUCUUCAAUUUUCCAUGAUGGAUACAAAUUACUGUAUUUUGUCUUAAAAGAUGUAAUUUAUUAUAUUAAUUUUUGUGUAAUAUUCAAUUACAAUUCUGUAUACACAAAUUUGAAAUGAAGCAAGUGGUCAUUGGGCUACAUAUUGGCGGUGCUAUGAUACAGUGUGGAUGCAUAUGCAGCGCAUUGUUCUUAUUUCCAUUGAGUGUAUCUGUGGUAUUAAUAUAGGACAAGAAAAGAAGUUGCUUAAAUUUAAGACAUGUAUUAUAUCUGCGACAUACAUAAGUGAAAUACUGUUCAUACAGUUUAAAUUUUGAAGUGUUGAAUUUUCCCAGUGAAUUACAAUAUAACUAAAUUUGUGGACAUUUCAUUCUUAUUACAAAACAAACAGCAAGUGAUCCAUGUAAAAAUAGCUAUGAUGUAUGACAUAAGGCAGGGCCAGAACAGACAUUUUACCAUAUGCUUAGAUUUCAUUCUUCUUUUUAGACAAUCCACACAGAAUUCUUCUCAGAAAUAAUGAUUUAGAAAUGGAUUCAUAGACAUUAACCUUCUGUUUUGUCAGUAUGUUCUAGCAGAGAAUUCAUUGUAUAAAUCCUUAUAAAGCAAUACCAGAAGUAAAUAGAUCAAUUUUAUUUUAAAGUAGCAUCAAACCAGGCUUUUGGUAGGAUAUCUUCAUUACAUAUAGUUUAACUUGUAUGGUACCAAGAGGGAGGAUGAUUUGGAAUGGAGUAUAAAGAUUUUUGAUAGAAAAUUCAGUUGACAAUCAGAAUUAUAUUAUUAGAUAAUGAACUGGUGAAAAUUGCUCUUUUUUCUUAUUUUUUGGUCUUAUAUAAAUGAUGAUAAUUUGGAGGUUAUGUGGCCACUGCAGCUUUGCAAGCACAAGACAUGUCUCUUCCCUCAUUCAAAGACAUUGUGCUACUAAUUUUGUGGAUUGGAGGAUGUGAUAACUAUUGACUCUCGGGUCUACCUUUCACUGCCAUUUGGAAAUAGAAAUAAAUUCUUAUGGGUCAUCAUGCAGUACCAUAUAUUUAACUCAUUUACAAAUCUUGCAAUUUCUGUUUAGAAAAUUCUGUUUUUAUAGACAUGCCUGAAGCAUAUUUUGUGUAGUUUUGUUCCAUCAUGGUUUGGUGUCAGAAUGGGAAGUCAUUGUUAGUCUACAGUGUAAUUUUGUUUGUGGAAACCUGUACUCUUGUAAUGUUUGUCACAUUGACAUGUGCUUGUUUGGAUUUGUGUUUUUGAUUUUCAUAAUCACAGAAGUGAAGUGCAUGCAAGUUCAUGUUCCCCUUUGCUUUAAUGUAACACUGCUGGAAGUUUCUAAUGAACUAAUUCAAAUUUUCAUUUGUUAUUGCAAAUUCUACCUUUCUUGAUGACUUUUGUUUAUUUAAAUUCUUCACUUGAGAAGUAGCUAUUUCAUUAGCUCCUAUUCCUGAAGUACUGUGUGUAUUUCAUAUGAUGAACUAUAAUUUUUUGAUUGUAGGUACAAGUAUUUUACUUGCAAGAUGGAUUUGUAUUACUGAUUUGUGAAAAGUAUUAAAGUAACAUGUAUAGGAUUAUAAGACAGAUUCUGGAAUUGAAUUUUCUGAUUAUAAAAAGAUUUUUCAAAAUGUAUUCCUCCCAGUAUGUUGUAGAGGGUGGAUGUCUUGUACAGUUCUGGCACUAAACCAUCCUCAGAAUGUACAUAUUUCUGUUCAUAUCAUCUGUACUUAUAUGUUCUAUGUGUUAGUGUGUGUGAUCAAAUGAGAGAAAGUGCAAAAUUUUAUGUGCACUAAUGUGUACAUGCAUCCUUUGCAAUUGAGGGACUGCCUAUAAUUUAACUCUUUGGAGUCACUUUAUAAUUUAAUAUUGUAUAUGCUUAUUACAUGUUAUUUUGUAAGUAAUUGUAUAUCAUUGUUGACUUUUUAAACUAUUUAUCAGUACUGGAACCUAAUGGUUGCAGUUGAUCAUGACUCCUACUUUGGAAGAAGUGUGACAGUACUGGAUGCCUCAUUGUAGAAGUUUGUACAUAUAUAGUUGAAUUUUCAGUAAACUUUUGUAAAUACAAUUAAUGUUGAGAUUUGAUGUUCUCAGAGCAGUGAAUAUGUCAUUUGUAGUCUUCUGGGUUGUCAUGUCAUGUAGUGUUGUACAUGGUUACCAACAUUCCUCCAAAACAUCGGUAGCCACCUACAAAGAGUACACUUUAUCACAACCCAGAAGACCACAGAUGACAGAAAUUAAUGUUGUUUCCAUUGCAAUAGUUUAUAUUUUUACAGUAUAUGUUUUGAAUGUACUCAGAUGUGAAUCGUACUAUCGUUAGUGUGUACAACAUCGCAGAGCGUGCAGAUGCAACGGUAGUGGACAGUUUUAGAUAUAUUUUUAAUGAAACACUUCAGUUAUCCAAAUAUUGUGUUGGUGAUAAACUUUGUGUAUAUUAAACACUGGGGAAAAUCUUUGGUUGUAUAUACCAGUCACUGACACACAAGUUAAUUUCUUAGAAUUGUUUUCAAAACCCCGCCUCGAGUAACAAAUGUAUUAAUAUUAAAUUGUGAGUGUAUGAUUCUAUUUCUCGCCAAAAUAGAUAGAACUGAAAAAAGUGUUGUUUUAUUCAUGAUACAGAGAAUGAACAACCGAAUGCCAAUGUGAUAUUUUCUGUAAAUACAAACCAAUAACUACAAAUAAUUACAUUUCUCAUAUUAUGCAAGUUGAAUAUUCAAAACUUUUCAGAAAAAUGUAAUAGUAAUUCAGUCAGACUCAUUUAGGAAAAUGCUUGACAGUGGCAAAUAAAGCCAAUUAUAAACAAGCACUAGAAACAAAACAAAUUAUUUUAAAAAAGCCAGUUAUACUGUAUAAUAAAAUUUAGAUGUAACUGAUAAUAUAGGAAACAGGGUCCAGAUGUAUUACAUAAAAUCUAAAGGGAACAGACAGCAGAAAUGUUAAAUACAAGUAAGAUUAUAAAAUUUCAGUAAGCAAAAAAAAAAUCUUAAAAGUAAUUUCGUGCAGAUCUAGCUGGGGGACUGACCUUGAGAUGAUGCCAUAUAUUAAAAGUAAGGUAGUUCAAUUGCCCUAGUAAGUGUAUGUAGACUAACAGAAUUCAGAAUGCAAGCAGUUAAUUUUGUUUUGAAAACUGAAGAAUAAGGAGUAGAAAGUUUCAGUCUAGCUCAUAGUUAUUGUCACAGCGCAUAAAAUGCUGAUAUAUUAUGAGGCUGAAAAUUUUGAUUGAACUGUUUCAUGUUUGGAUGAAUCUCUGUAAUGUAGUUCCAGGCAACAGAAACAUGCUGAAGUUUUGACUGCACAUGGGUGGUAUACAAAACUCAAAGGCUCUUAAUAAUAAUUAAUUAUGAUAAUAACUGUAACUUAGCAUGUUUUGUUCAAAUAUUUCUAUCAGUACACAAAGGACAGGAUAUCAAACAGAGUAAUACUUUGGAAGUUUAAUGUUUUGUAUAAAGUUUCUUUUUGAAUAUUUCCAUUGCUUAAAAGUUUUUGGACAUAAUCUUGAAUGCAGAUAUGGCUGUCUUCUGGGAUGAUAUGAUAAUUCUGAUGAUGGAGGCAGUAAGCCUGUCUCAAAUACGGGUUAAUAUCUACUAGACUACGUAGCGCAACAUCAUCUUUACAUAUGUCACUAUGAGAACCUGAAAUCUCACAUAGUAUUGAAUGUAUGUGCUGACAAAAUGUUUGUAAUUUACAGCAUAUAAAGGACAAUUCAAUACAUACAAUUUUUAGGUUAGUUUUGAAAUCAGUCACCAGUCAAAGAAUUGUGUAUCUGAAGAACUGUAAAAGGUUAGAGGUUUGUUAUCCAGUGUCACCACAAGGGAGUAAAGGAAACUGAUGUAAAUAUAUUAUGAUAAGUUAGGUAGUUGUAUUAUUUAUAACAAUUUGAUGUCGCAUUAUUCACAGGCAGAAGUGACUGUAAGUAUUACCUGUUUCCUGAUUUACUGUUGUCAAAAUUUCAGAUUGCAUUCAGUGAUGGCUCAUAAUAAAUUAAGAUAAUCAGCGAGGUAUUUUAAAAUGUUAUGUUUCUUUUUUGAACAUUUUAGAGCUUAUUUAGUCAAUCAAACUUAUUACUUUAUUAUAGGAGUUGUGUAGUUGGAUAAUUAAAAUUUGUCAUCUUUG
Molecule: non-coding RNA, 6291 nt
Organism: Zootermopsis nevadensis
Lineage: Eukaryota; Metazoa; Arthropoda; Insecta; Blattodea; Termopsidae
Source: RefSeq, a predicted model, not a curated record